AUUGAACGCUGGCGGAAUGCUUUACACAUGCAAGUCGAACGGCAGCACGGGAGCAAUCCUGGUGGCGAGUGGCGAACGGGUGAGUAAUAUAUCGGAACGUGCCCAGUCGUGGGGGAUAACGCAGCGAAAGCUGUGCUAAUACCGCAUACGAUCUCUGGAUGAAAGCGGGGGACCGUAAGGCCUCGCGCGAUUGGAGCGGCCGAUAUCAGAUUAGCUAGUUGGUGGGGUAAAGGCCCACCAAGGCGACGAUCUGUAGCUGGUCUGAGAGGACGACCAGCCACACUGGAACUGAGACACGGUCCAGACUCCUACGGGAGGCAGCAGUGGGGAAUUUUGGACAAUGGGCGCAAGCCUGAUCCAGCAAUGCCGCGUGCAGGAUGAAGGCCUUCGGGUUGUAAACUGCUUUUGUACGGAACGAAACGGCGAGCUCUAAUAAAGUUUGCUAAUGACGGUACCGUAAGAAUAAGCACCGGCUAACUACGUGCCAGCCGCCGCUGUAA
RNAcentral lists this ribosomal RNA (500 nucleotides) under uncultured bacterium. RNAcentral describes it as "partial 16S ribosomal RNA". It matches the Rfam family "Bacterial small subunit ribosomal RNA", at positions 30 to 523 of the family's 1533-position model. The record is from RNAcentral.